RNAcentral lists this ribosomal RNA (427 nucleotides) under uncultured bacterium. RNAcentral describes it as "bacterial SSU rRNA". It matches the Rfam family "Bacterial small subunit ribosomal RNA", at positions 355 to 774 of the family's 1533-position model. The record is from RNAcentral.
UAGGGAAUAUUGGACAAUGGGGGCAACCCUGAUCCAGCCAUGCCGCGUGAGUGAAGAAGGCCCUCGGGUUGUAAAGCUCUUUUGUCCGGAAAGAAAAGCAUUCGGUGAAUACCCGGAUGUUCUGACGGUACCGGAAGAAUAAGCACCGGCUAACUUCGUGCCAGCAGCCGCGGUAAUACGUAGGGGGCAAGCGUUGUCCGGAUUUACUGGGUGUAAAGGGCGCGCAGGCGGGAUAAAAAGUCAGUGGUGAAAUCCUACAGCUUAACUGUAGAACUGCCUUUGAUACUUGUAUUCUUGAGUUCGGGAGAGAGAGACGGAAUUCCAGGUGUAGUGGUGAAAUACGUAGAUAUCUGGAAGAACACCAGUUGCGAAGGCGGUCUCUUGGUCCGACACUGACGCUGAGGCGCGAAAGCGUGGGGAGCAAACA